UGGGGAAUAUUGCACAAUGGAGGGAACUCUGAUGCAGCGACGCCGCGUGAGUGAUGAAGGAAUUCGUUUCGUAAAACUCUGUUCUAUGGGAAGAAAAGGACUGUACCAUAGGAGAAAGCUCCGGCUAAAUACGUGCCAGCAGCCGCGGUAAUACGUAUGGAGCGAGCGUUGUCCGGAAUUAUUGGGCGUAAAGGGUGCGCAGGCGGCUUUACAAGUUGGAUGUGAAAUAUUGUGGCUCAACCACAAACGUGCAUCCAAAACUGCAAAGCUUGAGGUAAGGAGAGGUAAGUGGAAUUCCUGGUGUAGCGGUGGAAGGCGUGGAUAUCGGGAGGAAUACCGGUGGCGAAGACGACUUACUGGACUUAAACUGACGCUCAGGCACAAAAGCGUGGGGAGCAAACAGG
RNAcentral lists this ribosomal RNA (404 nucleotides) under Fusobacteriota bacterium. RNAcentral describes it as "Fusobacteria bacterium partial 16S ribosomal RNA". It matches the Rfam family "Bacterial small subunit ribosomal RNA", at positions 355 to 776 of the family's 1533-position model. The record is from RNAcentral. Lineage: Bacteria; Fusobacteriati; Fusobacteriota.